This 454-nucleotide long non-coding RNA is filed under the name Equus asinus (donkey). RNAcentral describes it as "lncRNA (ENSEASG00005038411.1)". Lineage: Eukaryota; Metazoa; Chordata; Mammalia; Perissodactyla; Equidae. The record is from RNAcentral.
UGCUGAGGAAACUUGGGUGAUGCCCAGCAGAUUUGCAGGUUGCGGAGUGGAGAGACAGGGGAGCGGAGGGGAAGAGAUCUAGAGGCUGAAGAAAGAGGAAGAAACGUAACUCGGUGGUUCUUAACUGGGAGUGGCUGUACCCACCAGCGGAGGGUGAUGUCUGGAGACAGAUCGAUCUAGUCGUCACAACAGGGGGAGGAGGUGCUACUGGCCUCUCGUGGGUCAAGGCCAAGGAUGCGGCUAAGCGCCCCACAGUGCCCAGGACAGCCCACCAUACGGAAUGGCCCGGCCACAAAUGUCAGCAGAAGCCCUCACGAGAGGGCCUUGGUACCAAAGACUGUACGUCCCAGACCGCCUCCCUUUCGAUAACCGCUGUCUAACCUUUCCUCUGGUGGUGACAUAGUGGCUUGUGCAGCUUUAGGAGGUUCCAGGUACCUGGGCGCGGUGGGUGGCG